This 435-nucleotide ribosomal RNA is filed under the name uncultured archaeon. RNAcentral describes it as "bacterial SSU rRNA". It matches the Rfam family "Archaeal small subunit ribosomal RNA", at positions 24 to 458 of the family's 1478-position model. The record is from RNAcentral.
UUACUGCUAUCGGUGUUCGCCUAACCCAUGCGAGUCAUAUGUUCUUCGUGAACAUGGCGUACUGCUCAGUAACACGUGAAUAACCUGCCCUUGGGACCGGCAUAACCCCGGGAAACUGGGGAUAAUUCCGGAUACCGCAUAUAUGCUGGAAUGCUUUAUGCGUGAAAUGGAUUCGUCUGCCCAAGGAUGGGUCUGCGGCCUAUCAGGUAGUAGUGGGUGUAAUGUACCUACUACCCUACAACGGGUACGGGUUGUGAAAGCAAGAGCCCGGAAAUGGAUUCUGAGACAUGAAUCCAGGCCCUACGGGGCGCACCAGGCGCGAAAACUUUACAAUGCGGGAAACCGUGAUAAGGGGACACCGAGUGCCACCAACAUUUGUUGGCUGUCCAGGUGUGUAAACUACACCUGUUAGCAAGGGCCGGGCAAGACCGGUGC